RNAcentral lists this ribosomal RNA (248 nucleotides) under uncultured bacterium. RNAcentral's name for it is "partial 16S ribosomal RNA". It matches the Rfam family "Bacterial small subunit ribosomal RNA", at positions 85 to 334 of the family's 1533-position model. The record is from RNAcentral.
CUGAUGGCGACCGGCGCACGGGUGAGUAACACGUAUCCAACCUGCCGAUAACUCGGGGAUAGCCUUUCGAAAGAAAGAUUAAUACCCGAUGGCAUAAUAGAACCGCAUGGUUUGAUUAUUAAAGAAUUUCGGUUAUCGAUGGGGAUGCGUUCCAUUAGGCAGUUGGUGGGGUAACGGCCCACCAAACCUUCGAUGGAUAGGGGUUCUGAGAGGAAGGUCCCCCACAUUGGAACUGAGACACGGUCCAG